UCCUUUUGUAGAUAAUUUAAGGUCUAGCCUGCCCACUGAUAUUUUAAAUGGCCGUGGUAUUUUGACCGUGCUAAGGUAGCAUAAUCAUUAGUUUUUUAAUUAAAAACUGGAAUGAAAGGUUGGAUGAGAAAAUAGCUGUCUCUAUUAAAUUUAAUUAGAAUUUUAUUUUUAAGUUAAAAAGCUUAAUUGUUAUUAAAAGACGAGAAGACCCUAUAGAGUUUAAUUAUUUAAUAAAAAUUAUAUUUUAGUAUUAAUUUAUUUAUUUUAUUGAAUAAUUUAAUUGGGGUGAUUGAAAAAUUUAAUUAACUUUUUUUAUUUAAAAACAUUAAUUUAUGAAUAAAUGAUCCGAUAUUUUUGAUUAUAAGAUAAAAUUACCUUAGGGAUAACAGCGUAAUUUUUUUAGAAAGUUCAUAUUAAAAAAAAAGAUUGCGACCUCGAUGUUGGAUUAAAAUAAAUUUUUGGUGUAGAAGCUAAAAUAUUAGGUCUGUUCGACCUUUAAAAUUUUACAUGAU
RNAcentral lists this ribosomal RNA (512 nucleotides) under Oreina gloriosa. RNAcentral describes it as "partial 16S ribosomal RNA". It matches the Rfam family "Bacterial large subunit ribosomal RNA", at positions 1830 to 2604 of the family's 2925-position model. The record is from RNAcentral. Lineage: Eukaryota; Metazoa; Arthropoda; Insecta; Coleoptera; Chrysomelidae.